GAAUGCAUCCCGUCUCCUCUGAUUUGGGAAGCUAAGC
RNAcentral lists this ribosomal RNA (37 nucleotides) under Meriones unguiculatus (Mongolian gerbil). Lineage: Eukaryota; Metazoa; Chordata; Mammalia; Rodentia; Muridae. The record is from RNAcentral.